GCAGUCGUGGCCGAGUGGUUAAGGCGUCUGACUUGAAAUCAGAUUCCCUCUGGGAAGCGUAGGUUCGAGUCCUGCCGACUGCG
This 83-nucleotide transfer RNA is filed under the name Schistocerca americana (American grasshopper). RNAcentral describes it as "tRNA-Ser". It matches the Rfam family "tRNA". From Rfam's summary of the family: Transfer RNA (tRNA) molecules are approximately 80 nucleotides in length. The record is from RNAcentral. Lineage: Eukaryota; Metazoa; Arthropoda; Insecta; Orthoptera; Acrididae.